AUUGAACGCUGGCGGAAUGCUUUACACAUGCCAGUCGAACGGCAGCACGGGGGCAACCCUGGUGGCGAGUGGCGAACGGGUGAGUAAUACAUCGGAACGUGCCCGGUCGUGGGGGAUAACGUAGCGAAAGUUACGCUAAUACCGCAUACGAUCUGAGGAUGAAAGCGGGGGACCUUCGGGCCUCGCGCGAUCGGAGCGGCCGAUGUCAGAUUAGGUAGUUGGUGGGGUAAAGGCCUACCAAGCCGACGAUCUGUAGCUGGUCUGAGAGGACGACCAGCCACACUGGGACGGAGACACGGCCCAGACUCCUACGGGAGGCAGCAGUGGGGAAUUUUGGACAAUGGGCGCAAGCCUGAUCCAGCCAUUCCGCGUGCAGGACGAAGGCCUUCGGGUUGUAAACUGCUUUUGUAUGGAACGAAAAGGCUCUGGCUAAUACCUGGGGCUCAUGACGGUACCGUAAGAAUAAGCACCGGCUAACUACGUG
RNAcentral lists this ribosomal RNA (484 nucleotides) under uncultured bacterium. RNAcentral describes it as "partial 16S ribosomal RNA". It matches the Rfam family "Bacterial small subunit ribosomal RNA", at positions 30 to 507 of the family's 1533-position model. The record is from RNAcentral.